RNAcentral lists this transfer RNA (72 nucleotides) under Cytospora mali. RNAcentral describes it as "tRNA-Thr (TGT) (tRNA-Thr-TGT-2-1)". It matches the Rfam family "tRNA". Rfam says of the family: Transfer RNA (tRNA) molecules are approximately 80 nucleotides in length. Their secondary structure includes four short double-helical elements and three loops (D, anti-codon, and T loops). Lineage: Eukaryota; Fungi; Ascomycota; Sordariomycetes; Diaporthales; Cytosporaceae. The record is from RNAcentral.
GCUCCUGUGGCGCAAUGGUAGCGCGUAAGACUUGUAAUCUUAAGGUUGUGGGUUCGACCCCCACCAGGAGUU